AAUUUUGCAGUGAGAGAAGUCGAAUCCUGGCUGGUUUUGGGAUUCUUGAUACGGCUCCAGAUAAGUCGAAUUCAACUUUGAACAUGUCUUUCUUGAUUUUUUAUUUACUAUAAUUAGAUUUUGAUUUCUUUGAUUCUAAAAUUUGAUUUUUCAUGUUUCUUGAUUUUUUGAUCCGUUGUGAAAGGUUGGUUUUAGGGUUUGCUUCUAUUUCUUUGUUUCCUUUUCACUGAUCGUCUGUUGUAAAUGUAUUGAUAU
This 255-nucleotide long non-coding RNA is filed under the name Trifolium pratense (red clover). RNAcentral describes it as "long non-coding RNA (TPRA_LNC005629)". The record is from RNAcentral. Lineage: Eukaryota; Viridiplantae; Streptophyta; Magnoliopsida; Fabales; Fabaceae.